This 633-nucleotide ribosomal RNA is filed under the name Triticum aestivum (bread wheat). RNAcentral's name for it is "partial small subunit ribosomal RNA". The record is from RNAcentral. Lineage: Eukaryota; Viridiplantae; Streptophyta; Magnoliopsida; Poales; Poaceae.
AUGAUUAUCUUAGCCUGUAACUGCCGAGGAUUGGGGUUGGACUCGGCAGUGGGCGAGCUUCGGGACCUAGUACGGUCAUACAACCCAGAGGUGGUGUUUCUCUCGGAAACGAAGAAACGAGCGGGGGCGAUGGAGAGGUUAAAAUGGAGAUUGGGUUUCAACCAAGGCGUGGCGGUGGACUGUAAGGGCAAGAGCGGUGGAUUGGCACUGUGGUGGAGAGACCAUGUUGAUGUUACAGUGCGUCCUUGGUGCCAAUAUUACAUUGAUGCAAAGAUCGAGGCCAAUGGGAGUUCCUUUCGAUUCACUGAAAUAUAUGGGGAACCCUGUGUUGAGAAGAGAACAAAAACUUGGGAGGUGCUUCGGUAUCGAAGGACACAGGAUGAUCUUCCAUGGUUAUGCGCAGGAGAUUUCAAUGAAGCUUUGAGACAAAGUGAGCAACAAGGGGGUAAUCUGAGAAGUAUGAAUCAGAUGGCAAUGUUCGAGGAAUGCCUGGCCGACUGCGGCCUGGCUGACCUUGGCUUUUCGGGCUAUCCAUUCACAUGGGAUAACAAGAGACAGAUGGAGGAGAAUAUCCAAGUCCGUUUGGACCGGGCAACGUGUAAUGCUGAUCUUGCCCAAAUGUUCCGUCGCUAG